AGUAGGAUGGCUGGGUCAAAUGGUAGCUCCAUUCUAACAUUUUUAAGGAAUCUCCAUACUGCUUUUCAUAUUGGCUGAACCAAUUUGCAGUCCCACCAUCUAU
RNAcentral lists this microRNA precursor (103 nucleotides) under Marmota monax (woodchuck). Lineage: Eukaryota; Metazoa; Chordata; Mammalia; Rodentia; Sciuridae. The record is from RNAcentral.